UGGCCAUCUGCAGCACGGUCUGGUCACAGCAGACUGGACUGUCUUGGUGCAGGACAGCGGAGACCGGAGAGUUCCAGGCUCUGGGUGCAGCUUUCCCCUGGUGGACUGGGGACAGAUGGGUCUGGAGACGCGAUCGCCCUGGAUUUAGGAUGAGCCCUGAUGGGAGAACAGACACCCCUCUCCUGAAAUUCUGGACGAAUCCUUGGCUGCACAUAGCCAGCCUCAGUUUACCUCCACAGUCAGGUUCAACCUCCUGCUUCCUAAUGCACCGGCGGCUCUGUACUGGCCAAUGAGUCCAUCACAACACCCUUUAUGCAUUCGCUCAACAAACAUUUAUCAACCAUCUACUGCGCACGUGCACCAGGUUCUUCCAGGCCCCAGAGAAUAUGGCAAAAGUCCUGCCUGCAUGGGGCUGAUGCUGAGCUGGGGGAGCCAGAGAGUAAACAGCCAGACAAUCAAGGGACACAACUUCAGCAACCAAAGACUCUCUAGGGGAAAGGGAGCACCAGACUAUUAGAACAGUAAGUGCAAAGGCCCUGAGGCAGAAACGAGAUCUUCUGUUCAGGAUGGAACAAGCCCCGUCGGUGGGGUUGCAGCAGGGGCUCCUUGUGGGGGUAGCUGGGUGGGGGGGGCCACUGGAGCUGCCGGACCACACCAGGCAUUUAAGGUGUCAUAAGGAGUUGGGAUUUUAUUCCACCUGUUACGGGAAGCUGCCGUAAGCCAGGUGUCUGCGUGUAUUGCAAACGUGUCCCCGUGUGCCUGUGUAGGGAGGUGUGGGCGUCCCCGUGCACCCGUGUGGAUGCUCACCCGUGUCUGUGCCGGGAUGCAGAGGCUUCAUCCGGCAAGUCCAGACCCCCAGGCUCAUCGGAACCCCGCUCCCCACUGACACAGGCCCAGAAUUCCAAAGUGCCUCAGCCUGGCGCCUGGUGGGGGCGGGGGCGCACCCUCCCCCUUGCAAGUGCUUCUGAACGCAUUCUACCCUCUACCUCUCCAGGCACACUGCCAUCUGUCUCUCCCCCUCCUGCCGCUCGGCCAUUUGAGCCAGUGAUGGGGGGCGCUCCCCGCCUCCGGGACCGGGAGAGCCAGAUGGCGGGAGUCAAGGCCCCGUGGUGCCCGGGGGACGCUGCACAGGGCUGCUGUCCCCACAGCCACCCGGGGUCACGGGGCAGGCCUCCACCACCGUCAGCCUUGGCGCCUCCUGGCUGUCCCGGCCCCUGUCCCCGGGCCCCACCUCAAGUGGCCUUUUGCAGCCACCACAUAAAUCACCGUCCAGGUCAGGACCGGGUGAGGGAGCAGGGCUGGGGAGGGCACAGCCCCUGGGGCCUGCAGACAGACUGGCUGCCAGUGACCCCUGACAGCCCAGGCCAGGGGGUCUCCAGGGGCCAGCUGGGAGGUCGGGGAGGUGCAAUGCUGCCCUGGGCCUGCGGGUGAUCCCGGCUGGCCCCGCUGCACCCGCUGCACGGGGAGGGCCCGGGUCAGGGGCGCAGGCCAACACCUGUCCAGGUAGCCCGCGUGGAGGGCAGGCCGGAGGCCACGCUGGGUGGCCCGGAGCAGCUGCCCGCACCGGCCGGUUCUGGGCCUUCAUCUCUGCACACGACCUCAGCGCCCGCGGACCUGGGCGCAGCUCUGUGAGCUCGGCCCCCUGUCUUGUCACCAACUUCACAGAUGCUCCCUGAGAAUGCCCGCCACAUUCUGGACACGUGGGGAAACUGAGGCCAGGCGGAGUCCCGGCCGGACGGCAGGCACACCAGACGGCAGCCUCCUGGUCCAGCAGGAGGCCCCGGGCUUGGCAACAUCAGGCUUUCUCGAAAUAAAAACGAGGAGGGGAAAAAGCCUUUCCAGGAGGGCCAGUUCUCAUAUUUACAUUCACCAACCAACAUCCACUCAACAUCCGUCCAACAUCAACCAUCCAUCCGUCCGUCCAACCAACAUCCACCCAAGGAACCCAGGGGGUUGAGUUCAGACAGACCUGAGCUUAAUCAAAUCACAGUCCUCCUUUUAUGUCUGGCGACCUGCCCCAGGGUCAAGAGUUCAAGCCCUGUGUUGGGCACGGAGCCUACUAGAAAGAAACAAAAACAAGAGGCCCUUCCGUGCACAGGGUGACGACUCCGGACUUCCAGGCUCAGUCUCCAGUGAGACAGCCCCAACUCUGUCGCUCUGCGUCUGGGGCCUGCUCCUUAAACAGUCCCAGCCUCAGUUUCCCCGUCUACAGCGUUGCAGACAAUGCCUGUAAAACACCCAACACAUACAUGUCCCUCGAUGAACAACUACGAUCCUUAGAAACGGGCAGAGAAGGGAUCUAGGGGCCGUGGCCGUGCACAGAAGGUGUAACCGCAGAGGUGGCGUGGCGCCCGCCACUGUAAGCGAGGUUCGCGACAACACGCGUGUGCACGCGCCCCAGCACACGGACACGAGGGCGAGGCCUGCGCGGGGCGUGCUCGCGUGCCAACCACCGUCUGAGACGCGCGGCUCGGGCGCCAGGACGGCUGCGAGACGGCGGAGGGCGCGGUCGGCGGGCCACACCCGGCCGAAGAGGUCUCUACCCGCGGGAGGUGAGCGCAGCUGAGCGUUCCUACCUCAAGGGCGAUUUCCCUUCGCUGGGCCCCACUGGUGAUGUCACGGGUGGCGGAAGGGCCAUGGGCAGGCGACCCCGCCCCCCGCCUCCCCUCUCUGGGCGCGCUCCCGCGCCAGCCAAUGGCAGAAUGUUCUGGAAGCACUGCAAUCCAUUCUGCAUGCUCAGAACCUAAUCUUAUGACACUCUAAGGGC
Herpailurus yagouaroundi (jaguarundi) is the source of this 2767-nucleotide long non-coding RNA. RefSeq lists it as uncharacterized. NCBI's taxonomy places the organism in Eukaryota, Metazoa, Chordata, Mammalia, Carnivora, Felidae. The record is from RefSeq and is a predicted model, not a curated record. The transcript is spliced from 7 exons.